Molecule: long non-coding RNA, 209 nt
Filed under: Mytilus galloprovincialis (Mediterranean mussel)
Lineage: Eukaryota; Metazoa; Mollusca; Bivalvia; Mytilida; Mytilidae
Source: RNAcentral
CUCUUAUUUGAUUAGAUUUGCUUCCAAAACCAAUUGAGAAAUUUGUAAGAUGUUACCAAAAACAAUUUGAAUUUAAGCAAUGGUCUUAAAACUGCUUAUUUACAUACAAUACUACUAAGAAGUAAAAUUAAAAAAAAUACUGAACUCCGAGGAAAAUUCAAAUCAGAAAGUCCCUUAUCAAAUGGUAUAAUCAAAUGAUAAAACACACC